Molecule: ribosomal RNA, 425 nt
Filed under: uncultured bacterium
Lineage: Bacteria
Description: bacterial SSU rRNA
Rfam family: Bacterial small subunit ribosomal RNA
Source: RNAcentral
GAGGAAUCUUGCGCAAUGGGGGAAACCCUGACGCAGCAACGCCGCGUGAGUGAGGAAGGUCUUCGGAUCGUAAAGCUCUGUCGGGUGGAAAGAAAUGUAUGGGGUUAAUAGCCUUCAUACUUGACGGUACCACCAAAGGAAGCACCGGCUAACUCCGUGCCAGCAGCCGCGGUAAUACGGGGGGUGCAAGCGUUGUUCGGAAUUAUUGGGCGUAAAGAGCGUGUAGGCGGCUUGGCAAGUCAGAUGUGAAAGCCCUGGGCUUAACCCAGGAAGUGCAUUUGAAACUGCCUAGCUUGAGUAGGGGAGAGGGAAGUGGAAUUCCUGGUGUAGAGGUGAAAUUCGUAGAUAUCAGGAGGAACACCGGUGGCGAAGGCGACUUCCUGGCCCUAUACUGACGCUGAGACGCGAGAGCGUGGGUAGCAAAC